UUACUUUUUAUAUCGUCAUAAAUUUGAAUGAUUUGGGAAGCCUCUCCUCUAUCUAAAUUAAUUGGUUGACAUCGUGGAAUUUCAAGAGUCUCUGGAAUAAUGUUCUGCUCAAUUCCAAAAUCUUUCAUAAAAUUUGAUAAAUUAGAACUUUCCAAUUCCAGUUCCAUAGCACUAACGUGAUUAACAUCGUGUCUAUUCAUCCAAUAUAUAAUCAUAUGAUCAAAAUCGUGAA
Molecule: long non-coding RNA, 232 nt
Filed under: Physcomitrium patens
Lineage: Eukaryota; Viridiplantae; Streptophyta; Bryopsida; Funariales; Funariaceae
Description: long non-coding RNA (PPAT_LNC009194)
Source: RNAcentral